CCGUUACUCGUAGAGUAAAAGGGUAUACUAGAUUCGUGCAAAACCGCCUAAUUAGGCCCUUUUACCUUACCUGUUUUUGUCGUGUGUUUGGCGUUUGGCGUUUGGCGGUGUUCAAAAGUUUUCAAAGUUCGGGGAUUUUUCGUGAAUUUCUUGCGGCCCGUAAUUAACGUGGGUUUACCUGAAACGAACGCCCGCGGCAAUAGCAUUAAUAGCGUGACGCCCGUCAUCACAUCUGUCCACCAUCAAAAAGCCCACUGCCGUUUUUGAUUCAACCCAGAGAUCACGUGACAAAAACUAAG
This is a non-coding RNA of Drosophila takahashii, 299 nucleotides long. NCBI's taxonomy places the organism in Eukaryota, Metazoa, Arthropoda, Insecta, Diptera, Drosophilidae. The record is from RefSeq and is a predicted model, not a curated record.